GUACGCUGGCGGCACGCCUAACACAUGCAAGUCGAACGCAGUAGCAAUACUGAGUGGCAAACGGGUGAGUAUAAUGUGGGAAUCUGCCUUUUGGUUUGGAAUAACACGGGGAAACUUGUGCUAAUACCAAAUAAGCCUUUACAGGGAAAGUUUUAACGCCGAAAGAUGAGCCCGCACUUGAUUAGCUAGUUGGUAAGGUAAAAGCUUACCAAGGCAAUGAUCAAUAGCUGUUCUUAGAGGAAGACCAGCCACAUUGGGACUGAGACACGGCCCAGACUCCUACGGGAGGCAGCAGUGGGGAAUCUUGCACAAUGGGGGAAACCCUGAUGCAGCGAUGCCGCGUGAGUGAAGAAGGCCCUUGGGUUGUAAAACUCUUUCGUCGGGGAAGAAAAUGACUGUACCCGAAUAAG
Molecule: ribosomal RNA, 410 nt
Filed under: uncultured bacterium
Lineage: Bacteria
Description: bacterial SSU rRNA
Rfam family: Bacterial small subunit ribosomal RNA
Source: RNAcentral